AAAUUUCUCCUCUUUUCUGAUUCCUAAAGCGCGAGAAACCCCGCCACUGGCACUUGUAUCGUCUGCUUGCUAAAAUACUAAAGCGAGAGUGUGUGUUGCCGGGAUUUUGCUGCAUUUCAAAUAGCAACUCCUGCAAAACCUCUAAAGCACCUGGUGUAGUUUGCUGAGAAUUUUGGUGAAUUGUAAUUAUGAUGAAUGUUGUUGAUCUUGAUCAAGAUCAGCACUGGCUUAUCAACUGUUUAAAUGCUACAUUGGACACUAAUCAACAAGCUCGUACCUUUGCUGAAGCUUCUCUUAAUCAAGCGUCUCACCAACAUGGUUUUGGAAGUGCUUUAGCCAAAGUUGCUGCAAACAGGGAAUUGUCAAUGGGAUUGCGCCAAAUAUCCUUUCUUUACUGCUGAUCUCCCUCCUCCAUGCUCAUUUUCCCCCUAUUACAGUGUUGUUAAGCUGUAAUUUGUUACCUGUUAUUGCCAAUCUUAGGAUUUGUUUGGUUGGCAACUAAAUCAUGGGAAUUUCUAUUUCCUAGGAAGUGUAAGAUGGGCUUGUUGUUUGGUUGUCAAAAAGUUUACGAAACGAGGGAAGUAGUACUUCCCAUGAACUUCUAGUUCCUACAGAAUAGGGGAAGUAGCUACAUGCUCCCCCCUAGGUAAGUAAAAAUUCAUGCUACUUCCUUUAUGAAUAACCAAACAACAUUUUUCAAUUUCCAUGAAUUUAAUGAAGGAACUCAAUUCACGUGUAUUCAAAAUUCAUGGAAUUUUUUACUUCCUAUGGUGAACCAAACUAGUCCUUAGUUCAUUCUUUGAUUUGAUGGGGAAUUCUUAAUUUCUUUUUCUUAAUGGUUUUCUUCAUUUGUUUAUUUGUUCCAUUAGGAACUCAUGUUAAACAAACAAUUAGCUGCUCUCUUCUUUCGUUUAGCUGUAGUCAUUUUUAUUUCUAGCCUUGUAAACUUGCUCCCCGCACUGAUUGUCUUGGAGGCUUUGACUUAUUCUACCUAGCUGCGGUUCUGUUAAAGCAGUUCAUCAAAAAACAUUGGCAUGAGGAUGAGGAUAAUUUUGAGCACCCUAUUGUUGCCAGUGAUGAGAAGGAAGUCAUACGUAGACUUCUCCUGCUGUGCCUGGAUGAUUCACAUAGGAAAAUCUGCACAGCAGUAAGCAUGGCUGUUGCUUCCAUUGCACAUUAUGAAUGGCCAGAAGAGUGGCCUGAAUUAUUGCCUUUCCUGAUGAAGUUGAUUAAUGAUCAAACUAAUAUGAACGGGGUGCUUGGUGCAUUAAGAUGCUUGGCCCUUAUAGCUGCGGACAUAGAUGAUAAAGCUGUGCCAUCUUUGGUGCCUAUCUUGUUCCCUUGCUUGCUUUCAAUUGUUUCAUCUCCUCAGAUAUAUGAUAAAUCUAUGCGUACAAAAGCUCUGUCAAUAGUCUACGGCUGUACAUCUAUGCUGGGGACUAUCAGUGGUACCUACAAGGCAGAAACUAGUUAUAUGAUGUCAUCGAUGCUUCACUCAUGGAUGCAGCAGCUUGCAGCUGUCUUGAGUCAUCCAGUACAAUCCGAAGAUCCUGAUGACUGGAGCAUAAGAAUGGAGGCUUUGAAGUGCUUGAAUCAAUUUGUGCAAAAUUUCCCUAGUGCUACUGAAGAAGGUUUCAUGACUAUUGUAGGACCUCUUUGGCAGACAUUUGUGACAACUUUACAAGUAUACGAACAGUCAUCAAUUGAAGGUACUCAAGACUCCUUUGAAGGACGAUAUGACUCUGAUGGAGCUGAGAGAAGUCUAGAAUCCUUUGUUGUACAGUUAUUUGAGUUCCUGCUAACAAUUGUUGGCAGUUCGAGAUUCGUGAAGGUUAUUGCAAAUAAUUUGCAAGAGCUUGUUUACUAUACAUAUGGAUUUAUGCAGAUUACAGAACAACAGAUGCAUGCUUGGUCUCUCGACGCGAAUCAAUACAUCUCUGACGAGGAUGAUAAUAUGUACAACUGCCGUGUUUCUGGUGUCCUCCUAUUAGAGGAGAUCAUCAAUUCUUGUGGGGAGGAAGGACUACGUGCCAUAAUAGAUGCUGCUAGGAGGAGAUUUAUGGAGUCAAAACAGCAGAAGUCUGAAGGAUUAAAAUUUUGGUGGAGGAUAAGAGAGGCUGUUAUGUAUGCUAUCGCGUCAUUGUCAGAUCAAUUGCAAGAAGCAGAGGUCUGUGGCUCCGAUGGAUCUGAUUUUAAAAAAUUCAUAGAGCAAAUGAUCAUGGAAGAUAUUGGAGCAGGGGUCCAUGAAUUCCCAUUUCUACAUGCUCGCAUGUUCUCAUCAAUACCAAAGUUCUCAUCAAUGUUAAGCGCAGGGGUCAUUGAGCAUUUUCUUUUUGCUUCUCUGAGAGAUAUAGGCAUGGAUGUGCCACCACCUGUUAAAGUUGGUUAUUGCAGAGUGCUUUCCCAGCUCUUAUCUGAAGCAAACAGAGAAGCUGUUCAACCUCAUAUAUUGCAGCUACUUUCAUCACUUAUUGAUCUCCUUAAUCAAGCAUCUGAAGAAAGCUUGCACUUAGUGCUUGAAACAUUGCAAGCAGCUGUGAAGUCAGGUCAUGACGCAUCAUUAUCAGUGGAGCCGGUUAUAUCCCCCAUAAUUCUAAACACCUGGGUCUCUCAUAUAUCUGAUCCUUUUAUCAGUAUAGAUGCCAUUGAAGUUCUGGAGGCAAUUAAAAAUGCUCCGGGCUGCAUACAACCAUUGGUUUCUCGGGUACUGCCUUAUAUUGGACCAAUUCUUAGCCAGCCUAAACACCAGCCCGAUGGAUUAGUCGCAGGAUCUCUGGAUUUGGUGACCAUGCUUUUAAAGAAUGCUCCUGGUCCUGUUAUAAAAGCAUUAUAUGAUGUUUGCUUUAACCCUAUAAUACAAAUAGUGCUUCAAAGCGAUGAUUAUAGUGAGAUGCAGAAUGCUACAGAAUGCUUAGCUGCUUUUGUAUGCGGGGGCAAGAAUGACCUCCUCGCUUGGGGUGGAGAUCCUGGAUUUACAAUGAGAAGUCUGCUAGAUGCUCUUUCGAGGCUUCUGGACCCUGAUCUGGAAAGCUCGGGGUCUUUUUUUGUUGGGAAUUACAUCUUGCAGCUUAUCUUGAAUCUUCCUUCACAAAUGGGCCAGCAUAUCCAAGACCUGGUUUCUGCAUUAGUCAGGCGUAUGCAAUCUUGCGAAAUAGCUGGACUGAAAAACUCCUUGCUACUUGUUUUUGCGAGACUGGUUCAUAUGAGUGUUCCAAAUGUGGGCCAGUUUAUAGAUUUGUUGGUCUCAAUACCUGGGGAGAAUGACGGAAAUUCUUUUGCUUAUGUAAUGUCUGAAUGGGUCAAGCAGCAAGGUGAGAUACAGGGUUCGUACCAAAUUAAAGUUACUACCACUGCAUUGGCUCUUUUGCUGUCUACUAGGCAUGUUGAAUUGGCAAAAAAUUUUGUUCAAGGCCAUCUAAUUCAGAGCACUGGAGGAAUAACAACGCGUUCCAAAUCUAAAGCAGCUCCGGAGCAGUGGACUGUCAUGCCUCUAAAUUCAAAGAUUCUGGCCCUGUUAGCUGAUACACUAAUUGAGAUACAAGAACAAGUGAUUGAGCAUGAUGAGGAGGAUAGUGACUGGGAAGAAGUUGGUGCAGGAGAUGCAGAUGUAGAUCAAGAUCUCUUACAUGUGGCUACUGCCAAAUCAUCAGGAAAACCAGCUUAUGAUCAUCUUGCUGCAAUGGCGAAAGUAUUUGAGAACGAAAAGGAUGGAGAUGAAGAUGAUCUAUUAAGUAGUGUCGAUUCCCUCAAUGAGAUCAAUUUGGCAAAUUAUCUUGUUGACUUCUUGGUGAAGUUCUGCGAGAGUGAUAGAACACUUUUCGACCAGCUUUCCCAGGGUUUAGCCCAAUCUCAACGACAUGCAAUUCAAAUGAUUUUGGAACUCUGAGCAUUUCAAAGUUCCAAGUCAAAGCUGCCUGGUUUACCCUUGAUGUUGUGCUUCGCCAUGUAUUGCUUACUUCGCAUAGAUUGGCUGCCAAAAGCUUAUGUCAUGUUUUUUGAUGGCUAAGAGGUACCAAAUGUUUAUCGUGAUAAUGUCAAGAUGCUGCUGUACAAUUGUAUUGGCAAUAGUGUACCUUGUUAUUGCUUUAUAAUUAUUUAUUGAUUUUUGAUUUUGGGGUGAGGGUGUUGAGCUUGAAGGGCUUUUGAUUCUUGAAGAUCGGAAAUAGCCAAGAGCGACUUUAACGUAUAAUUAUUUUCCUGUGUUCAUGUACAUGGUACAGAGAGAAUAGAGAAUUCAUGUAAAUUGAGUAAAUACCUACAUACAUAGUUACGGUGAAGGCCUUAGCUGUAGUUUGUACACUAAAUUUUGAUGAAUAUUUCUUUGAAGUGAACUUUGAUCGAA
Beta vulgaris subsp. vulgaris (sugar beet) is the source of this 4342-nucleotide RNA transcript. RefSeq lists it as uncharacterized. Lineage: Eukaryota; Viridiplantae; Streptophyta; Magnoliopsida; Caryophyllales; Amaranthaceae. The record is from RefSeq and is a predicted model, not a curated record. The transcript is spliced from 34 exons.